Long non-coding RNA from Manis javanica (Malayan pangolin), 727 nucleotides. RefSeq lists it as uncharacterized. NCBI's taxonomy places the organism in Eukaryota, Metazoa, Chordata, Mammalia, Pholidota, Manidae. The record is from RefSeq and is a predicted model, not a curated record.
GGCGGAAUCCGGAGCCCCGGGGCCACGUGGGCCGCCGCGGGCUCGGCGGAGGCCCGGCCGGGGAGACGCCUAAGGCUGCGCGGGGACCGGAUGGCCGCCCCAGAGGGGCUCUGCGGGCACAGUCCGGCGGUAUUCGCGCCGACGUCGCCGCCCACCAGCCGGCCAGGCCAGGGGACAGCGGCCCGGGUCCGGUGGGACCAGCCUCAGUGGCGGAGGCGGCGGGCACCCACCGAGAGGACGUGUCGGGGCCCUGAAGAGCCUGGGCCCGGAAUACCGUAGCGGGAAGGGACCAGUCCCCCUACUGGCGACUGGGCACAGCCACCGGCGUCCUCUCAGGGCGCGGGACUCGAGGAGGAAAGAGGCACAGCUUGGCCUAGGGGUCAGUUAUUCCAGCUGCCAUCGCGCCAGUCAUUCCUGUUGCAGUGGGACGGGAGAGCUCUGGAGGCCAUCCUUUCUCAGAGGGAUGCUUCAGAUGCAGGUCAGCUGCAUCAGACUUCUUGGUUCAGAUCCUGCACUGCCACUCACUGGAUGUACGAUCUUGGGCUACGUACAGAAUUCCUAAGCUGACUGAGCCCUGUGCCUCAGAUUCCUCGUCUGUGAAAACCAGCCUAAUCGCUGUGCAUCCCAGGAGGUUGUAGUGAGGACCAAGUGGACGCAUACAUGGGGAACCCUUGAAACUGCCCUUAGCACAUAGUAAAUGCUCAAUAAAAGUUGUGUGGAUGCUGUU